RNAcentral lists this ribosomal RNA (373 nucleotides) under uncultured bacterium. RNAcentral's name for it is "bacterial SSU rRNA". It matches the Rfam family "Bacterial small subunit ribosomal RNA", at positions 28 to 402 of the family's 1533-position model. The record is from RNAcentral.
GACGAACGCUGGCGGCGUGCUUAACACAUGCAAGUCGAGCGGUAAGGCCCUUUUGGGGGGUACACGAGCGGCGAACGGGUGAGUAACACGUGGGUGACCUGCCCUCAGCUCUGGGAUAAGCCUGGGAAACUGGGUCUAAUACUGGAUACGACCUUUCCUCGCAUGGGGGUUGGGUGGAAAGUUUUUCGGCUGGGGAUGGGCCCGCGGCCUAUCAGCUUGUUGGUGGGGUGAUGGCCUACCAAGGCGACGACGGGUAGCCGGCCUGAGAGGGCGACCGGCCACACUGGGACUGAGACACGGCCCAGACUCCUACGGGAGGCAGCAGUGGGGAAUAUUGCGCAAUGGGCGAAAGCCUGACGCAGCGACGCCGCGU